RNAcentral lists this unclassified non-coding RNA (2889 nucleotides) under Exaiptasia diaphana. Its description in RNAcentral is "exportin-2, transcript variant X2". The record is from RNAcentral. Lineage: Eukaryota; Metazoa; Cnidaria; Anthozoa; Actiniaria; Aiptasiidae.
UUUUGACGUUCAAACCGAAGUGUGCGUUCUUGAAACAAAUUUUCGAAUAUCUCGCUUUUAAAUAAUCCUGUUAAUAGAAUUGCUUCUUAUUAGUGUUAUAGAUGUUAUAUUAAGCGGCCAUUUNUAGUAUGGAUCCGAAUGUACAAGGUUUAGUGGACGUUUUGCAACAAACUUUCUCGCCUGACACGGCGGUUCGAAAGCAAGCUGAGAAAGCUUUGGAGUCAGUGGAAGGAACACCAAACUACAGUAUANUGUUAAUGAACAUCGCCAAUUGUGAUAGUGUUGAUGUGAAUAUAAGAGUAUCUGCUACAGUGACAUUUAAAAAUUUGGUCAAAAGAAACUGGAGAAUUAUUGAAGGUGAACCAAAUAAGAUAAAUGAAGCAGACAGAGCUGCAGUAAAAGCCCAAAUUGUUGACUUAAUGUUAAAAAGUCCAGAAAAAUUACAAAAACAGUUAAGUGAUGCCAUCAGCAUCAUUGGUCAUGAGGAUUUCCCAAAAAACUGGGAAAGUUUAUUACCAGACAUGGUAAACAGGCUGGGNAGUGGUGAUUUUCACAUUAUCAACGGAGUUCUAGUCACUGCACAUUCCUUAUUCAAAAGAUAUCGCCAUGAGUUUAAAUCACAAGAGCUCUGGGCAGAGAUCAAAUUUGUGUUGGAAAAAUUUGCAGAACCUCUUACCAAUUUAUUUAAGGCUAUUUUAGAACAAGCAAAUAAAUGUGGAGAGGACAAAAAUAUGUUACAAAUUGUGUUCAGUUCCAUUCUUCUUAUUUGCAAGCUGUUCUACAGUCUCAACUUCCAGGAUCUUCCAGAGCAUUUUGAGGACAACAUGGAGGUCUGGAUGAAAAACUUUCUGAUUCUCUUGUCACUUGAUAACAAGAUACUUGACACUGGAGAUAAUGAAGAAGCCAGUCUNUUGGAGCUUGUUAAAUCACAAAUAUGUGAUAACGUUGGACUUUAUGCUCAGAAAUAUGAUGAAGAAUUUGAGAAAUACUUGCCUGAUUUUGUAACAGCCAUUUGGAACCUAUUAUUAACAACAGACUCAAAUGUAAAACAUGAUUUGUUGGUCAGCAAUGCUAUUCAGUUUCUUGCAUCUGUCUCACAAAGACCUAAUUAUAAACAUCUGUUUGAGGCUCAAAAUACUCUACAAAGUAUUUGUGAGAAAGUUAUCGUGCCCAACAUGGAAUUCAGAGAUGACGAUGAGGAGAUUUUUGAAGACAAUCCCGAAGAGUACAUUAGAAGAGACAUUGAAGGAUCUGAUGUUGACACUAGGCGACGUGCAGCUUGUGACUUAGUGAGAGGACUGUCAAAGUUUCAUGAGCAGCAUGUGACAGGAAUAUUUCAACAUUAUGUUAUGGUGCUGCUAGAGCAAUAUAAAUCAACAAACCAAGAGAAUUGGAAAUCAAAAGAUGCAGCUAUAUUUCUGGUCACUUCACUUGCUUCGAAAAAGCAAACUGCAAAGCACGGAACCACAAAAGCCAGUGAUUUUUUUGAUUUGGGAGACUUCUUUGUAAAGUACAUUCUACCAGAACUCCAAAUAAAAGAUGUUGAUGCCCAUCCUGUGUUAAAGGCUGAUUCUAUUAAAUAUGUCAUUACCUUUAGAAGCAUGCUAUCAAGGGAUGCAUUGCUCAAUGUAAUCCCAAUCUUAAUGAAUCAUUUGAAGGCAAAGAGUAUGGUAGUACACACCUAUGCUGCACAUUGCUUGGAACGACUUUUUACACUCAAGAAUCCUGGUGGAGGCCCACCAAUAAGCAAAGAAGAGGUGAGCCAAGUCAGCCAGAACCUGAUUCAAAGUCUAUUUGCUGUUCUAAACAUCCAAGGUUCUGAAGAAAAUGAAUAUGUAAUGAAAGCAAUAAUGAGAACNUUGUCAUUGCUACAAGAGUUAGUGACACCUGUUCUUGAUCCUGUUUUGGCAAAACUCACUGAGAAGCUAACAGCAGUUGCAAAGAAUCCAAGCAAACCUCACUUCAACCACUAUUUGUUUGAAACCAUCUGCUGUAUUUUAAGAAAUGCAUGCAAAGCAAAUCCAGGACUAGUAUUGAAGUUUGAGGAAUCUUUAUUUCCAAUCUUUCAUCAAAUUCUCACAACUGAUGUCACAGAAUUUAUGCCAUAUGUAUUCCAAGUAUUGUCCCUUCUGUUGGAGAUUCGAGUGGAUGACAUCCCUGAAGCUUAUAUGCAGUUAUUCCCUUCUCUGCUUACUCCAUUACUAUGGGAAAGAGUUGGAAAUAUCCCACCAUUAGUGAGACUAUUGCAGGCAUACAUUCAAAAAGGCAGUCAACUCAUCAUAGCAAAUAACAACCUGGAUGCCAUUCUUGGUGUGUUUCAAAAGCUUAUAUCAUCAAAAUCCAAUGACCACGAAGGUUUUUAUUUGAUGAGCAGCAUAAUUGAGCACAUGGACCGGGCUGCCCUGCAGGAUUAUAUGCCAAAGAUAUUUAUUUUACUCUUUCAUCGACUACAAAACUCUAAAACAACCAAGUUUAUCAAGACUCUUCUUGAGUUUUUCAGUNUGUUUGCAGUGAAGAACUCUGGAUCAGCUCUGAUUGACGUCAUCGACAAUAUUCAGCCCAAGUAUCAGGAAACAUGGAGCGCAAAGUUUGUGCUGUUGGUAUUACAAAACUGUUAUGUGAACCUACGGCGACUUGGUCCAGAUAUCCUGAUCACUGGGGUUCUUUGCUUGAAGCACUUGUAAAAGUUUUUGAAUUGCCUAAUGACGAUUCUGUACCAGACGAUGAACAUUUUAUUGAAAUCGAAGAUACACCAGGCUAUCAAACUGCGUAUUCCAAGUUGGUAUUUGCUGGUAAAAACGAAAAUGAUCCUUUUGGUGGUGGUAUCCCCAAUGCCAAGUUAUUCCUUGUACAGUCACUGGUAACUCUUUCGCAAGCCCAACCUGGAAA